RNAcentral lists this ribosomal RNA (484 nucleotides) under uncultured bacterium. RNAcentral's name for it is "partial 16S ribosomal RNA". It matches the Rfam family "Bacterial small subunit ribosomal RNA", at positions 30 to 507 of the family's 1533-position model. The record is from RNAcentral.
AUUGAACGCUGGCGGCAUGCUUUACACAUGCAAGUCGAACGGCAGCACGGGGGCAGCCCUGGUGGCGAGUGGCGAACGGGUGAGUAAUACAUCGGAACGUGCCCGGUCGUAGGGGAUAACGUAGCGAAAGUUACGCUAAUACUGCAUACGAUCUGAGGAUGAAAGCGGGGGACCUUUGGGCCUCGCGCGAUCGGAGCGGCCGAUGUCAGAUUAGGUAGUUGGUGGGGUAAAGGCCUACCAAGCCGACGAUCUGUAGCUGGUCUGAGAGGACGACCAGCCACACUGGGACUGAGACACGGCCCAGACUCCGACGGGAGGCAGCAGUGGGGAAUUUUGGACAAUGGGCGCAAGCCUGUUCCAGCCAUUCCGCGUGCAGGACGAAGGCCUUCGGGUUGUAAACUGCUUUUGUACGGAACGAAAAGGCUCUGGCUAAUACCUGGGGCUCAUGACGGUACCGUAAGAAUAAGCACCGGCUAACUACGUG